AGUGAACGCUGGCGGUAGGCCUAACACGUGCAAGUCGAACGGCAGCACAGUAGGAGCUUGCUCUUACGGGUGGCGAGUGGCGGACGGGUGAGGAAUACAUCGGAAUCUACUUUUUCGUGGGGGAUAACGUAGGGAAACUUACGCUAAUACCGCAUACGACCUACGGGUGAAAGCAGGGGAUCUUCGGACCUUGCGCGAUUGAAUGAGCCGAUGUCGGAUUAGCUAGUUGGCGGGGUAAAGGCCCACCAAGGCGACGAUCCGUAGCUGGUCUGAGAGGAUGAUCAGCCACACUGGAACUGAGACACGGUCCAGACUCCUACGGGAGGCAGCAGUGGGGAAUAUUGGACAAUGGGCGCAAGCCUGAUCCAGCCAUACCGCGUGGGUGAAGAAGGCCUUCGGGUUGUAAAGCCCUUUUGUUGGGAAAGAAAAGCAGCAGGUUAAUACCCCGCUGUUCUGACGGUACCCAAAGAAUAAGCACCGGCUAACUUCGUG
This 492-nucleotide ribosomal RNA is filed under the name uncultured bacterium. RNAcentral describes it as "partial 16S ribosomal RNA". It matches the Rfam family "Bacterial small subunit ribosomal RNA", at positions 29 to 507 of the family's 1533-position model. The record is from RNAcentral.